Macaca fascicularis (crab-eating macaque) is the source of this 1547-nucleotide long non-coding RNA. The record is from Ensembl. Lineage: Eukaryota; Metazoa; Chordata; Mammalia; Primates; Cercopithecidae.
AGAUAGAUUUAGCUGGUGGUGCAGAGAUCUGUGAGCUUGCUUUUACAGGACUUUAAUGAUAUAUAAAAGCAGCAUGAAGGGCUCCUGACUGUGGAUUAAUUUGGAGAUGACUUUCUCUGUUGAAGAGUGGCAAGACUCUUGCAAGUUCUUAAAAAUGCACUUGUUUGGUAUGAGAAUGAAAAGCAGUGGCUGAAGAACCAGUCUUCAAUGGGCAAGGCUUCUCUGACACUGAGAUCUUCCCCGGCGGCUCUGAUCUGGGGGCUCCCUGUAGGUGCAAAGACCUGGUUCUUCAGACUCCAUCCAUGGAAGGAGGGAACACCAGUCGCAGGGAAGUGGGCUCUGCAUGGGGUUCCAGACACAGUAAAACAGGGCCUGGCACAGAUGCCUUGUUUGAGGUAUAGUGCGAACCCAUUAGCACUGAACUCAGGACCAGCAACGCUGUAACUCAGGCCUGAAGGAAGCAUUUCUAGCACAUGAAUUUCCUCCGUAAGGCACCUCACAGCCUCUUGUGCCUGGGAACUCUAGCCAGCACUGCAACACGAUGCCUGGGGCCAUUAUAAAUGUGAAAUUACCAAAGAAACCCCACAAAAAUGUGAAAAUCAUGGCACUAAAUAGACCACAAAAAGAAUGCUUAUUUGCAGUAUGAGAACUGGAACCAGAAGUGUCUGUUCUAACAUGUCAUCUGGGAUCCCUUGGAAUCUUCAUGUACAGAACCGGUUGCUGCCUCAUUGAGUUGGUGGGGACAGAAUAGCUCCUGGUUGGCAGCAUGGGUUGUGCAGAAGGACAGACCCUGCAGACAUCAAUAUCUGGCUUUGAGUGGCACAAAGAAAUAAAGGAAUGUGGAUUCAGACCUCACUGGGAUGCUUGGCAAUUCUAAUUCUACGCCAGACUGCAAAUGGACACAAAACUGUUGCGACUUUUGUUGAAGAGGAGAAGGAUGGAAGCUGGAUUCAGAAGCACACAGGUCUGGGGAUGCAGGCUUCGGCCACCCUGAUGCGAGGAAAGACUGCCAUCUCGUGGUCAGCUCGAUCCUGGCACCUUGGUGAGGGUCCAGGCUGCAGAAAACCGGGCUUGGGGAGGAAAUGGUGCUGCAAACUGGAUUUCUGCGGGACAAUGUGGAUGCCUUUAGAAAACACCCAGAAAAGAGCUGAGUGCCACCCAAGAUAGGCUUCAGUGAAUCCUCUGCAGGUGUGUUGUCAUCCCCUAAGCCAAACACACACUUCACACACACGCUGUAGGCUGCGUGAAAAUGAGGUAGAAAUGUGGGGAAAACAUAAUCCCGUGGAGAGAACAAACAGCUGAACAUGUAAAUGCCUCCGGCAUGCCUGGCAGAGAGAACACUCAGGCUGAGAAAAGGGGACAGUAACUUGUGCCAAAGAUAAGGGAGUAGCCUCUGGGGAAUCAAUCAGCAGGGCGUCUGGUCAACCCCUCAGACAAAGUCAGGUCUGAGCAGGCAAGAUCUAUGGAUCUGAUUUAUUAAUAUUUUCACAAUUAAAAAGAAUCUGAUUGUAAAACUGUUACAUGUGUUGUGAGAAAAAAAGAAAAAA